AGAAUGAACGCUGGCGGCAUGCCUAACACAUGCAAGUCGAACGAAGGCUUCGGCCUUAGUGGCGCACGGGUGCGUAACGCGUGGGAAUCUGCCCCUCGGUUCGGAAUAACAGCGAGAAAUUGCUGCUAAUACCGGAUGAUGACGUAAGUCCAAAGAUUUAUCGCCGAGGGAUGAGCCCGCGUAGGAUUAGCUAGUUGGUGUGGUAAAAGCGCACCAAGGCGACGAUCCUUAGCUGGUCUGAGAGGAUGAUCAGCCACACUGGGACUGAGACACGGCCCAGACUCCUACGGGAGGCAGCAGUGGGGAAUAUUGGACAAUGGGCGAAAGCCUGAUCCAGCAAUGCCGCGUGAGUGAUGAAGGCCUUAGGGUUGUAAAGCUCUUUUACCCGGGAUGAUAAUGACAGUACCGGGAGAAUAAGCUCCGGCUAACUCCGUGCCAACAGCCGC
Molecule: ribosomal RNA, 446 nt
Filed under: uncultured bacterium
Lineage: Bacteria
Description: SSU rRNA
Rfam family: Bacterial small subunit ribosomal RNA
Source: RNAcentral